GACGAACGCUGGCGGCGUGCUUAACACAUGCAAGUCGUACGGUAAGGCCCUUUCGGGGGUACACGAGUGGCGAACGGGUGAGUAACACGUGAGUAACCUGCCCACAACUUUGGGAUAACGCUAGGAAACUGGUGCUAAUACUGGAUAUGUGCUCCUGCUGCAUGGUGGGGGUUGGAAAGCUCCGGCGGUUGUGGAUGGACUCGCGGCCUAUCAGCUUGUUGGUGGGGUAGUGGCCUACCAAGGCGGCGACGGGUAGCCGGCCUGAGAGGGUGACCGGCCACAUUGGGACUGAGAUACGGCCCAGACUCCUACGGGAGGCAGCAGGGGGGAAUAUUGCACAAGGGGCGCAAGCCUGAUGCAGCAACGCCGCGUGCGGGAUGACGGCCUUCGGGUUGUAAACCGCUUUCAGCAGGGACGAAGCUUUUUGUGACGGUACCUGCAGAAGAAGCACCGGCUAACUACGUG
This 465-nucleotide ribosomal RNA is filed under the name uncultured bacterium. RNAcentral's name for it is "partial 16S ribosomal RNA". It matches the Rfam family "Bacterial small subunit ribosomal RNA", at positions 28 to 507 of the family's 1533-position model. The record is from RNAcentral.